Molecule: ribosomal RNA, 253 nt
Filed under: uncultured bacterium
Lineage: Bacteria
Description: partial 16S ribosomal RNA
Rfam family: Bacterial small subunit ribosomal RNA
Source: RNAcentral
AACGUAGGAGGCGAGCGUUAUCCGGAGUUACUGGGCGUAAAGCGCGUGUAGGCGGCUGUUUAAGUGUGCUGUGAAAGGUCCCGGCUUAACCGGGAAAGUGCGGCGCAGACUGGACGGCUGGAGGAUGACAGAGGCAGGUAGAAUUCCGGGUGUAGUGGUGAAAUGCGUAGAGAUCCGGAGGAAUACCAGUGGCGUAAGCGGCCUGCUGGGUUAUAACUGACGCUGAGACGCGAAGGCAUGGGGAGCGAACGGG